GGAGUCUGGACCGUGUCUCAGUUCCAAUGUGGGGGACCUUCCUCUCAGAACCCCUAACCAUCGUCGCCUUGGUGGGCCGUUACCCCGCCAACUAGCUAAUGGUACGCGAGCCAAUCCGAUAGCAAUAAAUCUAUUAAACAAAGAUCAUGCGGUCUCUGUUGUUACGGAGUAUUACGCGACGUUUCCAUCGACUAUCCUCCACUACCGGGUAUGUUGCUCACGCGUUACUCACCCUUUCGCCGGUCGCCGUCAGAGUAUUGCUACUCCACGCUGCCCCUCGACUUGCAUGUGUUAAGCCUGCCGCUAGCGUUCAUC
Molecule: ribosomal RNA, 315 nt
Filed under: uncultured Bacteroidales bacterium
Lineage: Bacteria; Pseudomonadati; Bacteroidota; Bacteroidia; Bacteroidales
Description: partial 16S ribosomal RNA
Source: RNAcentral